AUUGAACGCUGGCGGCAGGCCUAACACAUGCAAGUCGAACGAGUGGAGGACGUGUGAGUAAUGUCUGGGAAACUGCCUGAUGGAGGGGGAUAACUACUGGAAACGGUAGCUAAUACCGCAUACCAUCGGAUGUGCCCAGAUGGGAUUAGCUAGUAGGUGGGGUAAAGGCUCACCUAGGCGACGAUCCCUAGCUGGUCCGAGAGGAUGACCAGCAACAAUGGAACUGAGAAAGGGCCCAGAUCCCGACGGGAGGCAGAAGAGGGGAUUAUCGCAAAAGGGGCGAAAUCCGGAUGCACCCAUGCCGCGUGUAUGAAGAAGGCUUUCGGGUUUUAAAGUACUUUCAGCGGGGAGGCGUUACCUGGAGAAGAAGGACCGGCUAACUCCGUGCCAGCAGCCGCGGUAAUAC
This 406-nucleotide ribosomal RNA is filed under the name uncultured bacterium. RNAcentral's name for it is "partial 16S ribosomal RNA". It matches the Rfam family "Bacterial small subunit ribosomal RNA", at positions 30 to 526 of the family's 1533-position model. The record is from RNAcentral.